RNAcentral lists this transfer RNA (76 nucleotides) under Fusarium pseudograminearum CS3220. RNAcentral's name for it is "tRNA-Thr". The record is from RNAcentral. RNAcentral also lists the same sequence under 2 other names. Lineage: Eukaryota; Fungi; Ascomycota; Sordariomycetes; Hypocreales; Nectriaceae.
GGCAGCCUCGACACAGGAUCGAACUAUGGACCUUCGCAUUACGAGUGCGACGCUCUACCACUGAGCUAUAGAGGCU